Non-coding RNA from Oncorhynchus mykiss (rainbow trout), 729 nucleotides. NCBI's taxonomy places the organism in Eukaryota, Metazoa, Chordata, Actinopteri, Salmoniformes, Salmonidae. The record is from RefSeq and is a predicted model, not a curated record.
AGAAAGAAAGAGAUUACCGGUGGAAAUAUAUUUCCAGAGCUCCCUCCGUUUGACAUGCAGUACUGGAAGAGGUCAGAGGGAGAGAAGACUGGCUGCAAUGAACAAAGUAGGAAUUUCAGAAAGCAGGGGUGUAUUGUGUCAAAUUGGUGUUCGAUGAAAUCCCAGAACGGGAGGGAUCAAUAUUAUGUGCCGCAAAAAGCCAAUGACAAUGGCAAUAAGGGAGACCAAGAGCUCCUCAAGAAAUGACGUACUCAUGCUAGGACCAUGCAGGAGAGGAACAUCUUAGAGCACAAGCAAGAAAUGUGUGAGAGACAUAUGAGAGGGGAGGUAUGCCUGUUGUGUAUGUCUACUUUCACUACAUUAUAAUUUUGUAAUCCACUAUUUUUUUCACAUACCUGAAGUGCACUUCUCAACCAGAAGAGGGCAACAUAACACCAGCCUGAGGAAAGGGUUUCACAGUCAUUGGAAAGAGAAAAUUAGAAUUAGAAGAAUGCUUUCAGUUCUGUUCUUGUUCUAAGGAAACUGUCUGAGAGAAGUGGACAGAAAGAGACUGACUUAAGUCCUUGUUUCCAUUCUGGGUGAGCAGACGUUGAAAAAGAUGGCUGUGCAGACACUAAGCUGAAGCUCUCCAGGUUGGAGAUAGUGACAUGCCUAGCUAGCGAUGGAACACUGUGCCUCCAGUAUGCAGUCAGUCAUCCUGCAGUCAGAUGUCGCCAGGGAGGCACACCC